AUGAAGAUGUUUACAAACUAAGAAUCCUGGCUGUCUGAUGCUAGGAGUUGAGUAACUUCCUUCCACCAUGUCCUUCUUUCAUGAUGUUUCUGCUCUAGAACCAGACAAAUAUAGGGCAAAAACUCUGGAGACAUGAACCAAAAUAAAUAUCUCUUCUUGUAAGCUGCGUCAGGAGGUAUUUUAUUCUAGCAAUGGAAAGAUAAGUAAUGGCAAUGAAGCGUGAACAUCAGCUUAGAAACGUGAUGUACAGAUCAACAGAUGAGUGAGGAAACAGAAGAGGAUACUGUGCAGUACUACCCAGCCACAAGAGAGAACAAAAUUGUGUCAAUGGCGGAAUUGUGAAUGGACAUGGGGGUCGUUGUGUUGACUGAAAGAAUUCCAGCUCUGCCAAAUGUAUUGCCUUCUCCUUAAUAGGUAUAAUCAAGAAGAAAUGACUACAAAGUUGAAGAGAGACAAUUGUAAGACGAACGGUAGGGUGGAAGCGGAAGGAGAGGCUAUAGGGGUGAGUGGUGAGUUAUGGAGAUUGGACAUAAGUAAAAUAGAUUCAUUGAACUCUCUCCCCUAAAUGUGAAGUUCGGGACUAUCGAGAUCAAAGGAAGUGAUCAGAGGGUGAAAUUGACUGAAGUGUGCUGUGUGUGGGCACAAGUCUGCCAAAAUGAAACCCAUUCACUAGUAUGGCUCAAUCUAAGUAAAGAAAG
Long non-coding RNA from Octodon degus (degu), 698 nucleotides. RefSeq lists it as uncharacterized. The transcript has 3 exons. The record is from RefSeq and is a predicted model, not a curated record. Lineage: Eukaryota; Metazoa; Chordata; Mammalia; Rodentia; Octodontidae.